RNAcentral lists this ribosomal RNA (207 nucleotides) under uncultured bacterium. Its description in RNAcentral is "partial 16S ribosomal RNA". It matches the Rfam family "Bacterial small subunit ribosomal RNA", at positions 568 to 774 of the family's 1533-position model. The record is from RNAcentral.
UGCGUAGGUGGCGUGGUAAGUCAGAUGUGAAAGCCCAGGGCUCAACCCUGGAAUUGCAUCCGAUACUGCCGUGCUAGAGUACUGAAGAGGUGACUAGAAUUCUCGGUGUAGCAGUGAAAUGCGUAGAUAUCGAGAGGAAUACCAACGGCGAAGGCAGGUCACUGGGCAGUUACUGACACUGAGGCACGAAGGCCAGGGGAGCAAACG